CCUACGGGAGGCAGCAGUGGGGAAUAUUGCACAAUGGGGGAAACCCUGAUGCAGCGACGCCGCGUGAGUGAAGAAGUAUUUCGGUAUGUAAAGCUCUAUUAGCAGGGAAGAAAUAGCGACCUUUGGGUCGCCAGACGGUACCUGAUUAAGAAGCCCCGGCUAACUACGUGCCAGCAGCCGCGGUAAUACGUAGGGGGCAAGCGUUAUCCGGAUUUACUGGGUGUAAAGGGAGCGUAGACGGCAGCUCAAGUCUGAAGUGAAAUGCCGGGGCUUAACCCCGGAACUGCUUUGGAAACUGUGCAGCUAGAGUGCAGGAGAGGUAAGUGGAAUUCCUGGUGUAGCGGUGAAAUGCAUAGAUAUUAGGAAGAACACCGGUGGCGAAGGCGGCUUACUGGACUGUAACUGACGUUGAGGCUCGAAAGCGUGGGGAGCAAACAGGAUUAGAUACCCCAGUAGUC
RNAcentral lists this ribosomal RNA (458 nucleotides) under uncultured bacterium. Its description in RNAcentral is "partial 16S ribosomal RNA". It matches the Rfam family "Bacterial small subunit ribosomal RNA", at positions 338 to 795 of the family's 1533-position model. The record is from RNAcentral.